GGAAGACGGACGAUCCAAAGAAUACCACUCGAUGCCCAAAAGAGAAACGACCAAACUCCACGCGUGAAAAUCUCGCAAUUUCUCGACAAGAUGUGUUCGCACUGCUUGUUCCCAGUUGUCGGCAAGUGUGGAACAAGUUGUUAUCAUGUUGUAACAAGUUUUAAUGGGGCCAAUAGACUCGCAACAAGUUGUUCCCACAAGUCUGAUAUGGUCUGCACAUAUAACAACAAGUUAUUAACAAGAUGAUGGCAACAAGCUCGUAGCAACUUGUUGUGAACAGCAUGUAUUAAAUGUCUUGUUGGAACAACUUGUAGCAAGUCUGUUACCGUCGUCAACCUUGUAAGAAUGUAAUAACAACUUGCCAUUCGUGCUUUCAAUAUAUAGUUCUUCGGGUCUUCUAAUAAUUGACCUUUUCGGCGCUAAAAUGACGUGUAGUAUCACGUGGCUAAAAACGUAAACAAAUGUCCUAAAGCUGGAGUUACACGAGCAACAAAAUUGCUGCAACUUGCAACAAAAUCUGAUUUCAACGCAUGUUGAGUAGAAACGUCGACACAUGUUGCCUUGUGAUUUGUAAUUUAUGUGUAAACAUUUUCAAUUAACAUGCGUUGAAAUCAGAUUUUGUUGCAAGUUGCAGCAAUUUUGUUGCUCGUGUAACUCCGCCUUAAGUUUGGCCAAGCUCGCUUGAACAAAAUGGCGGCUGUGGGAAGCUGUACUGUCAUCUGUAUCUAUAUUGUUUGUCUUUUGCUUGACAUUCACGG
This is a non-coding RNA of Paramuricea clavata, 758 nucleotides long. The record is from the annotation of a GenBank genome assembly. NCBI's taxonomy places the organism in Eukaryota, Metazoa, Cnidaria, Anthozoa, Malacalcyonacea, Plexauridae.